RNAcentral lists this ribosomal RNA (1343 nucleotides) under uncultured bacterium. RNAcentral describes it as "16S ribosomal RNA". It matches the Rfam family "Bacterial small subunit ribosomal RNA", at positions 28 to 1378 of the family's 1533-position model. The record is from RNAcentral.
GACGAACGCUGGCGGCGUGCUUAACACAUGCAAGUCGAACGGAAAGGCCCUGCUUUUGUGGGGUGCUCGAGUGGCGAACGGGUGAGUAACACGUGAGUAACCUGCCCUUGACUUUGGGAUAACUUCAGGAAACUGGGGCUAAUACCGGAUAGGAGCUCCUGCUGCAUGGUGGGGGUUGGAAAGUUUCGGCGGUUGGGGAUGGACUCGCGGCUUAUCAGCUUGUUGGUGGGGUAGUGGCUUACCAAGGCUUUGACGGGUAGCCGGCCUGAGAGGGUGACCGGCCACAUUGGGACUGAGAUACGGCCCAGACUCCUACGGGAGGCAGCAGUGGGGAAUAUUGCACAAUGGGCGGAAGCCUGAUGCAGCAACGCCGCGUGCGGGAUGACGGCCUUCGGGUUGUAAACCGCUUUCGCCUGUGACGAAGCGUGAGUGACGGUAAUGGGUAAAGAAGCACCGGCUAACUACGUGCCAGCAGCCGCGGUGAUACGUAGGGUGCGAGCGUUGUCCGGAUUUAUUGGGCGUAAAGGGCUCGUAGGUGGUUGAUCGCGUCGGAAGUGUAAUCUUGGGGCUUAACCCUGAGCGUGCUUUCGAUACGGGUUGACUUGAGGAAGGUAGGGGAGAAUGGAAUUCCUGGUGGAGCGGUGGAAUGCGCAGAUAUCAGGAGGAACACCAGUGGCGAAGGCGGUUCUCUGGGCCUUUCCUGACGCUGAGGAGCGAAAGCGUGGGGAGCGAACAGGCUUAGAUACCCUGGUAGUCCACGCUGUAAACGGUGGGUGCUAGGUGUGGGGUCCAUUCCACGGGUUCCGUGCCGUAGCUAACGCUUUAAGUACCCCGCCUGGGGAGUACGGCCGCAAGGCUAAAACUCAAAGGAAUUGACGGGGCCCCGCACAAGCGGCGGAGCAUGCGGAUUAAUUCGAUGCAACGCGUAGAACCUUACCUGGGUUUGACAUGGAUCGGGAGCGCUCAGAGAUGGGUGUGCCUCUUUUGGGGUCGGUUCACAGGUGGUGCAUGGCUGUCGUCAGCUCGUGUCGUGAGAUGUUGGGUUAAGUCCCGCAACGAGCGCAACCCUUGUUCACUGUUGCCAGCACGUUAUGGUGGGGACUCAGUGGAGACCGCCGGGGUCAACUCGGAGGAAGGUGGGGAUGACGUCAAGUCAUCAUGCCCCUUAUGUCCAGGGCUUCACGCAUGCUACAAUGGCUGGUACAGAGAGUGGCGAGCCUGUGAGGGUGAGCGAAUCUCGGAAAGCCGGUCUCAGUUCGGAUUGGGGUCUGCAACUCGACCUCAUGAAGUCGGAGUCGCUAGUAAUCGCAGAUCAGCAACGCUGCGGUGAAUACGUUCCCGGG